This 243-nucleotide unclassified non-coding RNA is filed under the name Hevea brasiliensis (rubber tree). The record is from RNAcentral. Lineage: Eukaryota; Viridiplantae; Streptophyta; Magnoliopsida; Malpighiales; Euphorbiaceae.
AAUUCAAUAGAGGAAAGAUUUAAUAUGUUGGAAGGGAAAUUGGAUUAACUUUGGUAAUAACAAUGCAUUGAGAGAGGAUUUGAGAUCUUUCAUGAGUAUAUUUGCAAAGGAAAAUGGAAAGGAAGUCUCUACUGAGGAUACAUUGAAGGAGGAUUUGAGAUCUUUCUUGUGUAUAUUUGCAAAGAAAAAUGAAAAGGAAGUCUCUACUGAGGAUAUUGGAGUCAGGGGAGCCGAAAGUAGUGG